This is a long non-coding RNA of Clupea harengus (Atlantic herring), 1459 nucleotides long. RefSeq lists it as uncharacterized. The record is from RefSeq and is a predicted model, not a curated record. NCBI's taxonomy places the organism in Eukaryota, Metazoa, Chordata, Actinopteri, Clupeiformes, Clupeidae. The transcript is spliced from 3 exons.
AAACAGACAUGAGGGCCAUUUCACAUGCGGGUUAGUUUCAGUCCUGUAGGGUUAGUUUGAGUCCUGUAGUGUAGUUAGUUUGAGUCCUGUAGGGUAGUUUGAGUCCUGUAGGGUAGUUCGUUUGAGUCCUGUAGGGUAGUUAGUUUGAGUCCUGUAGUUAGUUUGAGUUCUUUAGGGUAGUUUGAGUCCUGUAGGGUAGUUAGUUUGAGUUCUGUAGGGUAGUUAGUUUGAGUCCUGUAGGGUAGUUAGUUUGAGUCCUGUAGGGUAGUUUGAGUCCUGUAGAGUAGUUAGUUUGAGUCCUGUAGGGUAGUUAGUUUGAGUCCUGUAGGGUAGUUUGAGUCCUGUAGGGUAGUUAGUUUGAGUCCUGUAGGGUAGUUAGUUUGAGUCCUGUAGGGUAGUUUGAGUCCUGUAGGGUAGUUAGUUUGAGUCCCGUAGGGUAGUUUGAGUCCUGUAGGGUAGUUAGUUUGAGUCCUGUAGGGUAGUUUGAGUCCUGUAGGGUAGUUAGUUUGAGUCCUGUAGGGUAGUUUGAGUCCUGUAGGGUAGUUAGUUUGAGCUCUGUAGGGUAGUUAGUUUGAGUCCUGUAGGGUAGUUAGUUUGAGUUCUGUAGGGUAGUUUGAGUCCUGUAGGGUAGUUAGUUUGAGUCCUGUAGGGUAGUUAGUUUGAGUUCUGUAGGGUAGUUAGUUUGAGUCCUGUAGGGUAGUUUGAGUCCUGUAUGGUAGAUAGUUUGAGUCCUGUAGGGUAGUUUGAGUCCUGUAGGGUAGUUAGUUUGAGUCCUGUAGGGUAGUUUGAGUCCUGUAGGGUAGUUAGUUUGAGUCCUGUAGGGUAGUUUGAGUCCUGUAGGGUAGUUAGUUUGAGUUCUGUUGGGUAGUUUGAGUCCUGUAGGGUAGUUUGAGUCCUGUAGGGUAGUUAGUUUGAGUCCUGUAGGGUAGUUAGUUUGAGUUCUGUAGGGUAGUUAGUUUGAGUCCUGUAGGGUAGUUAGUGUGAGUCCUGUAGGGUAGUUUGAGUCCUGUAGGGUAGUUAGUUUGAGUUCUGUUGGGUAGUUUGAGUCCUGUAGGGUAGUUAGUUUGAGUCCUGUAGGGUAGUUAGUUUGAGUUCUGUAGGGUAGUUAGUUUGAGUUCUGUUGGGUAGUUUGAGUCCUGUAGGGUAGUUAGUUUGAGUCCUGUAGGGUAGUUAGUUUGAGUCCUGUAGGGUAGUUAGUUUGAGUCCUGUAGGGUAGUUUGAGUCCUGUAGGGUAGUUAGUUUGAGUCCUGUAGGGUAGUUUGAGUCCUGUAGGGUAGUUAGUUUGAGUCCUGUAGGGUAGUUAGUUUGAGUCCUGUAGGGUAGUUUGAGUCCUGUAGGGUAGUUAGUUUGAGUCCUGUAGGGUAGUUAGAGUCCUGUAGGGUCAUUCUGAUGUAGGGGGACAUGUAGCAGUAGGUCCAUACUCUUACAGCUGUCUCUGAUAGGUCCAUACUCUUACAGC